RNAcentral lists this small RNA (652 nucleotides) under Porites lutea. RNAcentral's name for it is "eukaryotic LSU rRNA". The stretch from base 239 to 392 matches the Rfam family "5.8S ribosomal RNA". The record is from RNAcentral. Lineage: Eukaryota; Metazoa; Cnidaria; Anthozoa; Scleractinia; Poritidae.
GGUGAACCUGCGGAAGGAUCAUUACCGAUGUGAAAAAUCCAAGGUUAAACAUCAUUAACCAGUGUGAACUGUACGACAACUCUUUAGGGGUCGGCACAGGCGUGUGUCGUUAAAUGGCGGAUAGGUUCCUUCCGCCAGCCCCGCCAUUGUGUUUAUUAUAUCACUUUGAACGUUAAAGACUGAGAACUAUGUAUCAUGCAUUAAAUGUAUGUGAAAGAAGGAAAGAAAAAUGAGAGACAACUUUUGACGGUGGAUCUCUUGGCUCACGUAUCGAUGAAGAACGCAGCCAGCUGCGAUAUGUAGUGUGAAUUGCAGAAUUCAGUGAAUCAUUGAAUCUUUGAACGCAAAUGGCGCUCUUGGGUUCUCCCAGGAGCAUGUCUGUCUGGGUGUCGGAUUUUAUCGAACGCACCCGUGAGUGCGGUAUUGAGGUGUCACGGCGUGUUAGCAAGCAAGCAAGCAAGCAUUAAAUCGCCGUGUCCCUUGAAGGACAGCAGCAUUGGACUCGCAUUCUCUAUUGAAGCUUGAGUGCGAAGGCUAAAGAUAAUAUUUUCCUUCGCCCAAACAUGCAAUAGCAGAAACAAAAUCCAAUCAAAGCGGUGGCAGACAAUAAACAUCAAAUCUUGACCUCAGAUCAGGCAAGGCUACCCGCUGA